Molecule: ribosomal RNA, 394 nt
Filed under: uncultured bacterium
Lineage: Bacteria
Description: bacterial SSU rRNA
Rfam family: Bacterial small subunit ribosomal RNA
Source: RNAcentral
CAAGACUCCUACGGGAGGCAGUAGUGGGGGAUAUUGCACAAUGGGGGAAACCCUGAUGCAGCGACGUCGCGUGGGUGAAGAAGCGCCUCGGCGCGUAAAGCCCUGUCAGCAGGGAAGAAAAUGACGGUACCUGAAGAAGAAGCCCCGGCUAACUACGUGCCAGCAGCCGCGGUAAUACGUAGGGGGCAAGCGUUAUCCGGAUUUACUGGGUGUAAAGGGAGCGUAGGCGGACUUGCAAGUCUGAUGUGAAAAUCCGGGGCCCAACCCCGGAACUGCAUUGGAAACUGUAUAUCUAGAGUGUCGAAGAGGCAAGUGGAAUUCCUGGUGUAGCGGUGAAAUGCGUAGAUAUCAGGAGGAACACCAGUGGCGAAGGCGGCUUGCUGGACGAUGACUG